AUUGAACGCUGGCGGCAGGCCUAACACAUGCAAGUCGAGCGGAUGAAGGGAGCUUGCUCCUGGAUUCAGCGGCGGACGGGUGAGUAAUGCCUAGGAAUCUGCCUGGUAGUGGGGGAUAACGUCCGGAAACGGGCGCUAAUACCGCAUACGUCCUGAGGGAGAAAGUGGGGGAUCUUCGGACCUCACGCUAUCAGAUGAGCCUAGGUCGGAUUAGCUAGUUGGUGGGGUAAAGGCCUACCAAGGCGACGAUCCGUAACUGGUUUGAGAGGAUGAUCAGUCACACUGGAACUGAGACACGGUCCAGACUCCUACGGGAGGCAGCAGUGGGGAAUAUUGGACAAUGGGCGAAAGCCUGAUCCAGCCAUGCCGCGUGUGUGAAGAAGGUCUUCGGAUUGUAAAGCACUUUAAGUUGGGAGGGAGGGCAGUAAGUUAAUACCUUGCUGUUUUGACGUUACCAACAGAAUAAGCACCGGCUAACUUCGUG
RNAcentral lists this ribosomal RNA (484 nucleotides) under uncultured bacterium. RNAcentral describes it as "partial 16S ribosomal RNA". It matches the Rfam family "Bacterial small subunit ribosomal RNA", at positions 30 to 507 of the family's 1533-position model. The record is from RNAcentral.